RNAcentral lists this ribosomal RNA (456 nucleotides) under Kingella oralis. RNAcentral's name for it is "bacterial SSU rRNA". It matches the Rfam family "Bacterial small subunit ribosomal RNA", at positions 30 to 474 of the family's 1533-position model. The record is from RNAcentral. Lineage: Bacteria; Pseudomonadati; Pseudomonadota; Betaproteobacteria; Neisseriales; Neisseriaceae.
AUUGAACGCGGGCGGCAUGCUUUACCAUGCAAGUCGAACGGCAGCACGAAAGAGCUUGCUCUUUUGGUGGCGAGUGGCGAACGGGUGAGUAAUGCAUCGGAACGUACCGAGUAAUGGGGGAUAACUAUCCGAAAGGAUAGCUAAUACCGCAUACGCUUUGAGAAGGAAGGUGGGGGCUCUUCGGACCUCACGUUAUUCGAGCGGCCGAUGUCUGAUUAGCUAGUUGGUGGGGUAAAGGCCUACCAAGGCGACGAUCAGUAGCGGGUCUGAGAGGAUGAUCCGCCACACUGGGACUGAGACACGGCCCAGACUCCUACGGGAGGCAGCAGUGGGGAAUUUUGGACAAUGGGCGCAAGCCUGAUCCAGCCAUGCCGCGUGUCUGAAGAAGGCCUUCGGGUUGUAAAGGACUUUUGUUAGGGAAGAAAAGGAUAGUGUUAAUACCAUUAUCUGCUGACG